GUCGUGAGAUGUUGGGUUAAGUCCCGCAACGAGCGCAACCCUUGUCCUUAGUUGCCAGCACGUAAUGGUGGGAACUCUAAGGAGACUGCCGGUGACAAACCGGAGGAAGGUGGGGGUGACGUCAAGUCAUCAUGGCCCUUACGGCCAGGGCUACACACGUACUACAAUGGUGGGGACAGAGGGUCGCCAAGGCGCGAGCCGGAGCCAAUCCCAGAAACCCCAUCCUAGUCCGGAUCGAAGUCUGCAACUCGACUUCGUGAAGUCGGAAUCGCUAGUAAUCGCGGAUCAGCAUUGCCGCGGUGAAUACGUUCCCGGGCCUUGUACACACCGCCCGUCACACCAUGGGAGUUUGUUGCACCAGAAGCAGGUAGCUUAACCGCAAGGAGAGCGCUUGCCACGGUGUGGCCGAUGACUGGGGUGAAGUCGUAACAAGGUAGCCGUAUCGGAAGGUGCGGCUGGAUCACCUCCUUUUGAGCAACGGGACGCGAAGUGUCACAGGCGCCCGCACAAGUUUCCUGCAUUCAGAGAGCAUCGCCCGCCGGGUUGGACCUGGUGGUGUGGUGAUGUCCCGUUAUCAGGGGCUUUAGCUCAGCUGGGAGAGCACCUGCUUUGCAAGCAGGGGGUCAUCGGUUCGAUCCCGAUAAGCUCCACCACCCAGGCUUGAACUUGAGGCAUGGGUCUGUAGCUCAGGUGGUUAGAGCGCGCCCCUGAUAAGGGCGAGGUCGGAGGUUCGAGUCCUCCUAGACCCACCAUCUUCUGAAUGUUGGCGCACACGAUUUGAUCUGGCGAUCGGCUUUGAAGCCGGUGGCAUGUUCUUUGACAAUGUGGAUGUAGCGAGCGUUUUAGACAAUUGUGAUUGUCGAAAUGUGUCGUGAGGCUAAGGCGGGCACGAAGGUGCCUGAAUCGAAGUGUUGUAGGUUUGUUCGACGCUGUGUGGCUGCAGGUGAUUUGCGGUUAUAUGGUCAAGCGAAUAAGCGCACACGGUGGAUGCCUUGGCGGUCAGAGGCGAUGAAGGACGUGGCAGCCUGCGAAAAGGCACGGGGAGCUGGCAACAAGCAUUGAUCCGUGCAUGU
Molecule: small RNA, 1073 nt
Filed under: uncultured Stenotrophomonas sp.
Lineage: Bacteria; Pseudomonadati; Pseudomonadota; Gammaproteobacteria; Lysobacterales; Lysobacteraceae
Description: bacterial SSU rRNA
Rfam family: Bacterial small subunit ribosomal RNA (bases 1-471)
Source: RNAcentral